AGAGUUUGAUCCUGGCUCAGGACGAACGCUGGCGGCGUGCUUAACACAUGCAAGUCGAACGGUGAAAGAGGAGCUUGCUCCUCUGGAUCAGUGGCGAACGGGUGAGUAACACGUGAGUAACCUGCCCUUGACUCUGGGAUAACCUCGGGAAACCGAAGCUAAUACCGGAUACGACCCUCGGAGGCAUCUCCAGGGGGUGGAAAGAACUUCGGUCAAGGAUGGACUCGCGGCCUAUCAGGUAGUUGGUGAGGUAACGGCUCACCAAGCCGACGACGGGUAGCCGGCCUGAGAGGGUGACCGGCCACACUGGGACUGAGACACGGCCCAGACUCCUACGGGAGGCAGCAGUGGGGAAUAUCGCACAAUGGGCGCAAGCCUGAUGCAGCAACGCCGCGUGAGGGACGACGGCCUUCGGGUUGUAAACCUCUUUUAGUAGGGAAGAAGCGAAAGUGACGGUACCUGCAGAAAAAGCACCGGCUAACUACGUGCCAGCAGCCGCGGUAAUACGUAGGGUGCAAGCGUUGUCCGGAAUUAUUGGGCGUAAAGAGCUCGUAGGCGGUUUGUCGCGUCUGCUGUGAAAUCCCGAGGCUCAACCUCGGGCCUGCAGUGGGUACGGGCAAACUAGAGUGCGGUAGGGGAGAUUGGAAUUCCUGGUGUAGCGGUGGAAUGCGCAGAUAUCAGGAGGAACACCGAUGGCGAAGGCAGAUCUCUGGGCCGUAACUGACGCUGAGGAGCGAAAGCGUGGGGAGCGAGCAGGAUUAGAUACCCUGGUAGUCCACGCCGUAAACGUUGGGAACUAGAUGUGGGGACCAUUCCACGGUCUCCGUGUCGCAGCUAACGCAUUAAGUUCCCCGCCUGGGGAGUACGGCCGCAAGGCUAAAACUCAAAGGAAUUGACGG
This 899-nucleotide ribosomal RNA is filed under the name uncultured bacterium. RNAcentral describes it as "bacterial SSU rRNA". It matches the Rfam family "Bacterial small subunit ribosomal RNA", at positions 8 to 916 of the family's 1533-position model. The record is from RNAcentral.